AAGCAACGCGAAGAACUUACCAGGUCUUGACAUCCGAUGCUAUUUCUAGAGAUAGAAAGUUACUUCGGUACAUCGGUGACAGGUGGUGCAUGGUUGUCGUCAGCUCGUGUCGUGAGAUGUUGGGUUAAGUCCCGCAACCGAGCGUCAACCCUUGUCUUAAUUGCCAUCAUUGAGUUGGGCACUUUAAAGAGACUGCCGGUGUUAAACCGGAGGAAGGUGGGGAUGACGUCAAGUCCUCAUGGCCCUUAUGGGUAGGGCUUCACACGUCAUACAAUGGUCGGUACAGAGGGUUGCCAAACCGCGAGGUGGAGCCAAUCCCUUAAAGCCGAUCGUAGUCCGGAUCGUAGUCUGCAACUCGACUACGUGAAGUCGGAAUCGCUAGUAAUCGCAGAUCAGCAUGCUGCGGUGAAUACGUUCCCGGGUCUU
Molecule: ribosomal RNA, 426 nt
Filed under: uncultured Azoarcus sp.
Lineage: Bacteria; Pseudomonadati; Pseudomonadota; Betaproteobacteria; Rhodocyclales; Zoogloeaceae
Description: bacterial SSU rRNA
Rfam family: Bacterial small subunit ribosomal RNA
Source: RNAcentral